RNAcentral lists this microRNA precursor (80 nucleotides) under Ovis aries (sheep). Its description in RNAcentral is "miRNA (ENSOARG00000024799.1)". Lineage: Eukaryota; Metazoa; Chordata; Mammalia; Artiodactyla; Bovidae. The record is from RNAcentral.
ACUGGCUAGGCCCAAAGUUCAUUUGGAUUUUCAAUAGUAUCUUACAGGAAAACGCAAAUGAACUUUUUGGCCAAUCCAAU